UUGAAAUUUAGGACUAACAUUGUGUAAUUUAUUUAUUUUCAGGUACCCCCGCCAGAAGGACGGAAGCAUCGAGUCGCUGAGGAGCCUAAGGAGUCAUCACAGAUGCAAAUUGCCGGUCGUCAGGAAGAGGAGUUGCGUAGAGUAAUCCCACGCAGCUGUCAUUGCAUUUUUAUUGAGCUGCUGGCAUUAUGUGGUGGAGUUCGUUUUAUCAUCUGCUAUCUAUUAUCUAUUAUCAUCUGCUACUUUGUCUGUCCGGUUAGCGGAGAAUUCGUUGAAGAUACGAUACUGAGGAGAAUUAUUCGUUUUAAGGACAAAUUUUGCAGCUUAUUAAUGUGGCAUCAGCGCCGCGCUAUGCAGUGGCGUCAGGAGAAGGAGACGGCAUCAUAAAAUUGUCAACUUUUUGUGUUUAAAAUCGCCAAAGUUGGUGAUUUUGUUUUGCUUUUGCGGUGCCUGUCUCUUGUUGUCGGUUGUGUUGAAGGAUUUACGUGCGUGGCGUCAGGAGGAUGGAGUCGCAUAUAUGAUGGAGUCGCAUAUAUGUAAACUU
Drosophila mauritiana is the source of this 544-nucleotide long non-coding RNA. RefSeq lists it as uncharacterized. The transcript has 3 exons. The record is from RefSeq and is a predicted model, not a curated record. Lineage: Eukaryota; Metazoa; Arthropoda; Insecta; Diptera; Drosophilidae.